GAGUUUGAUCCUGGCUCAGGAUGAACGCUGGCGGCGUGCUUAACACAUGCAAGUCGAACGGACUCAUAUUGAAACCUAGUGAUUUAUGAGUUAGUGGCGGACGGGUGAGUAACGCGUGGAUAACCUGCCGUAUACCGGGGGAUAACACUUAGAAAUAGGUGCUAAUACCGCAUAAGCGCACGGCUCCGCAUGGGGCAGUGUGAAAAACUCCGGUGGUAUACGAUGGAUCCGCGUCUGAUUAGCUAGUUGGCGGGGUAACGGCCCACCAAGGCAGCGAUCAGUAGCCGGCCUGAGAGGGUGGACGGCCACAUUGGGACUGAGACACGGCCCAAACUCCUACGGGAGGCAGCAGUGGGGAAUAUUGCACAAUGGGGGAAACCCUGAUGCAGCGACGCCGCGUGAGUGAAGAAGUAUCUCGGUACGUAAAGCUCUAUCAGCAGGGAAGAAAAUGACGGUACCUGACCAAGAAGCCCCGGCUAACUACGUGCCAGCAGCCGCGGUAAUACGUAGGGGGCAAGCGUUAUCCGGAUUUACUGGGUGUAAAGGGAGCGUAGACGGCAGCACAAGUCUGGAGUGAAAUCCCGGGGCUUAACCCCGGAACUGCUUUGGAAACUGUGCGGCUGGAGUGCANGANGGGUAAGCGGAAUUCCUAGUGUAGCGGUGAAAUGCGUAGAUAUUAGGAAGAACACCGGUGGGCGAAGGCGGCUUACUGGACUGUAACUGACGUUGAGGCUCGAAAGCGUGGGGG
Molecule: ribosomal RNA, 748 nt
Filed under: uncultured bacterium
Lineage: Bacteria
Description: bacterial SSU rRNA
Rfam family: Bacterial small subunit ribosomal RNA
Source: RNAcentral